This 497-nucleotide ribosomal RNA is filed under the name uncultured bacterium. RNAcentral's name for it is "partial 16S ribosomal RNA". It matches the Rfam family "Bacterial small subunit ribosomal RNA", at positions 28 to 507 of the family's 1533-position model. The record is from RNAcentral.
GACGAACGCUGGCGGCGUGCCUAAUACAUGCAAGUAGAACGCUGAAGCGAGGAGCUUGCUCUUCUUGGAUGAGUUGCGAACGGGUGAGUAACGCGUAUGUAACCUGCCUUGUAGCGGGGGAUAACUAUUGGAAACGAUAGCUUAUACCGCAUAACAAUGGAUGACACAUGUCAUUUAUUUGAAAGGGGCAAUUGCUCCACUACAAGAUGGACCUGCGUUGUAUUAGCUAGUAGGUGAGGUAAUGGCUCACCUAGGCGACGAUACAUAGCCGACCUGAGAGGGUGGUCGGCCACACUGGGACUGAGACACGGCCCAGACUCCUACGGGAGGCAGCAGUAGGGAAUCUUCGGCAAUGGGGGCAACCCUGACCGAGCAACGCCGCGUGAGUGAAGAAGGUUUUCGGAUCGUAAAGCUCUGUUGUAAGUCAAGAACGGGUGUGAGAGUGGAAAGUUCACACUGUGACGGUAGCUUACCAGAAAGGGACGGCUAACUACGUG